UAUCAGCAAGGUCUUUAUGACCUGCAUCUUGUGUUGACCUCCUAUCUCACCCUGUGACUCAGAAUGCCUUAACCAUCUGGGGAUGCAGCCCAGUAAGUCUCAGCCUCAUUUUACCUGGCCCCUACUCAAGAUGGGGUUGCUCUGGUUCAAACGCCUCUGACAGGGUGACAACUGUGACCACAACAGAUUCACAAACAUGACAUUUUCAGAGAGAGGAAGCCUCCCCUGCUCUUAGUCUAUGUGAUUCGGACACAGCCAACUACAUUUCCCAGAUCCAGAAAUGAACACGCCAUUCCAAGUAAAGCCAAUGAGAGACAGCUGCAGGACUUUUGCUGGAACUAUUGGGAAAGUGGUGUUUCUUUUUCUGCUAUGGUUACUUAUCUGCUAUGCUCUAAGCCUGGAACUGCUGGAGGUCAUCUUUGCUGCAUGAAAAUGAAGUCAAUAUUGAGGACAGCAGAGAUGUGGACCCUGAGACCAGGGAGGUUGCGUGGCAUCAUUACAUCAGAAGGGGAGUGGUCUGAAUCCACUCCUCCCCUUCCAGGGCAGGAAGUCAACAGAGAAGGGCUCUGUGGUGGUUGUGCUCACCCCGCAUCAAGGUUGCUAAGCUGCUGUGAUGGAAUCCUGGAGCUGCUGAAGGACACCUCAUCUCUUUGUGGGAAGCAUCUGCUUGAGGAUUAAGGGAAUGCAGAAAAAAAGUGGAGUAGAGAGAUGGAGGAAGAUGACUUUCGAGGACAUUGUGUGAGCACCUGGAUCUAACUGUGCCUGAAGCAAAACUCAAACCCUGGACUCUCAAUGUAUUGGCUCUCAGUUCCAAGACCCAAUAAAUUCCUUCUUAGCUUAGAAUGCUUUGCUCAGAUGUCUGUUACUUCCAGCCAAAUGUGUUUUAAUACAGAAAGCUCUUGGGGGCUCAAAUAACAGAAAGGGAAGCUAUAUGAGAAGCUGAGG
This 945-nucleotide long non-coding RNA is filed under the name Homo sapiens (human). Its description in RNAcentral is "HSALNT0397603". The record is from RNAcentral. Lineage: Eukaryota; Metazoa; Chordata; Mammalia; Primates; Hominidae.